UACGUAGGGUGCAAGCGUUGUCCGGAGUUACUGGGCGUAAAGGGCGCGUAGGCGGCGCACCAAGUCAGGCGUGAAAGCCCUGGGCUCAACCCGGGAAUUGCGCUUGAGACUGGUGUGCUUGAGUACGGGAGAGGAUAGUGGAAUUCCCAGUGUAGAGGUGAAAUUCGUAGAUAUUGGGAAGAACACCGGUGGCGAAGGCGGCUAUCUGGACCGUAACUGACGCUGAGGCGCGAAAGCGUGGGGAGCGAACAGG
RNAcentral lists this ribosomal RNA (253 nucleotides) under uncultured bacterium. RNAcentral's name for it is "partial 16S ribosomal RNA". It matches the Rfam family "Bacterial small subunit ribosomal RNA", at positions 524 to 776 of the family's 1533-position model. The record is from RNAcentral.